UCCCUGGUGGUCUAGUGGUUAGGACAUAGCACUUUCAUUGCUGUAGCCUGGGUUAGAUAUCUGGUCUGGGAA
This is a transfer RNA of Sus scrofa (pig), 72 nucleotides long. It matches the Rfam family "tRNA". From Rfam's summary of the family: Transfer RNA (tRNA) molecules are approximately 80 nucleotides in length. Lineage: Eukaryota; Metazoa; Chordata; Mammalia; Artiodactyla; Suidae. The record is from Rfam.